This 207-nucleotide ribosomal RNA is filed under the name Escherichia coli. Its description in RNAcentral is "partial 23S ribosomal RNA". It matches the Rfam family "Bacterial large subunit ribosomal RNA", at positions 2126 to 2332 of the family's 2925-position model. The record is from RNAcentral. Lineage: Bacteria; Pseudomonadati; Pseudomonadota; Gammaproteobacteria; Enterobacterales; Enterobacteriaceae.
GAGCCUUGAUGUGUAGGAUAGGUGGGAGGCUUUGAAGUGUGGACGCCAGUCUGCAUGGAGCCGACCUUGAAAUACCACCCUUUAAUGUUUGAUGUUCUAACGUUGACCCGUGAUCCGGGUUGCGGACAGUGUCUGGUGGGUAGUUUGACUGGGGCGGUCUCCUCCUAAAGAGUAACGGAGGAGCACGAAGGUUGGCUAAUCCUGGUC